CGGACCGGCGCACGGGUGAGUAACGCGUAUGCAACUUGCCUAUCAGAGGGGAUAACCCGGCGAAAGUCGGACUAAUACCGCAUGAAGCAGGGGCCCCGCAUGGGGAUAUUUGCUAAAGAUUCAUCGCUGAUAGAUAGGCAUGCGUUCCAUUAGGCAGUUGGCGGGGUAACGGCCCACCAAACCGACGAUGGAUAGGGGUUCUGAGAGGAAGGUCCCCCACAUUGGUACUGAGACACGGACCAAACUCCUACGGAAGGCAGCAG
Molecule: ribosomal RNA, 263 nt
Filed under: uncultured bacterium
Lineage: Bacteria
Description: partial 16S ribosomal RNA
Rfam family: Bacterial small subunit ribosomal RNA
Source: RNAcentral